CCUCCCGGCACAUAAACAAUCCGCUCGCGGUCCCGCCCCUCCCCCGCGCUCAUUGGUUCAUCCCCCCGCCUCGCCGCCCUGCGGUUGGUUCGCACAGCUGUCGCUCACGGCGCUGGGUGAAGGGAGGUGGGAGGAGCCCGCAUGGAGCUCAAUAUUAUUGGCUGUGCUUCACGUCAAUCAUCGCGGAGGAGAGCUAUUGGGUGGAGGCCGGCGAGGGGAAAGCGCGGAGCCUAUUGGUCGGGCGGCAGGUUGAGGGGCGGGGUGGGGCUGAGAACGCGGCACGCUAUUGGAGGAAGCGCCUGCCAGUCGGAGGGAGGCGGGGCUUCCUCGGCGGAAGACGGAAGCGGGAGGCGCUGCGCGGCAGCGGCAGCAUGGAGGGGGCGGCAUCGGCGGGCGGUGAGCGCCGGGACCGGGACCGGGACCGGGACCGGGACCGGGACCGGGACCGGGACCGGGACCGGGACCGGGACCGGGACCGGGACCGGGACCGCCCCUGGCGCUCGGCCCCAGCCCCGGGCCUUGGCUCCCCGCGUACCGGAGCCUCGCGGGCCCUGGUGCGGGGCUGCCGCUGGCACCCGGCCCCGCGCCGCCUCUCCUGGGCCCUCCCCAGUCCACUUCGGGCCCUCCCCGUUCCCCCCCGGUCCCCUCCCGAACCCCCCAGGUCCCCCCCCGGGCCCUUCCCGUUCCCCCCCGUUCCCCUUCGGGCCCUCCCGGCCCUCCCGGUUCCCCCCCGGUUCUCCCCCGCCCCCCCCGCCGUUACCCCGUGUGCAGGCCCUGAUGAGCUCCGCCGUGCUCCCCGCGGGCUCCAUGGCGGCGGCCCCUCAGCAGCGCUGCCCCCGGUACCGGGGUUGUGUUCCCGGCCCCUCCCGGUGCCCGGCCCCGGCAGGAAGCGCCGAGGGGCUGAGCUCACCCCGGGGCCCCGCGGUGCUCGUGGCCGCGCUGCCGCAGCGCUGAGGUCAUCGGGGCCGGGCCCUCCCCGCGGGCUCUGCUCAGCCCCGGUCCCGGUCCCUCUCCAAACCCGGCCCCU
RNAcentral lists this long non-coding RNA (1027 nucleotides) under Anas platyrhynchos platyrhynchos (common mallard). RNAcentral's name for it is "lncRNA (ENSAPLG00000019754.1)". Lineage: Eukaryota; Metazoa; Chordata; Aves; Anseriformes; Anatidae. The record is from RNAcentral.